GUGGAGGGGGGUAUCCCUAUUCACAAGAGCCACUUCCUGUUUAUGGUUUAUGACGGGUCAUAAAACCCAUUGUGUAGGGAUGACAGGUGUAAUGCCUGUGGUGGACCUGCAGGGGUCGCUGGGGUGCGGGAUCUGUAUAGGCAGAGGUGUGUAUGUGGGUGUGAUUAGUGUAUGCAUGUGUGUGUGUGUGUGUGUGUGUGUGUGUGUGUGUGUGUGUGUGUGUGUGUGUGUGUGUGUGUGUGUGUGUGUGUGUGUGUGUGUGUGUGGUAUGCGAGGCCAGGGCGGCUGGUCUGUAGGGGUGUUAACAGGAAGAUCACAGUGCUGUUGGAAGGACGGCCAGCCGGCAAUGUGGACAGGGGGGGCGAGGCCCUUGAUGGCGGAAGUGGGCAUACAGACGAUGUCAUAGAGAGUGUGAGGUGGGACACAGUAGAUUACGUGAAAAGCGCUAUAUAAAUUGAAUCUAUUAUUAUUAUUAACAGAUAUUCUAGUGAUUUUCAUCUAACAUGGUGUAUUUGGAUCAACUUUAUUUUACCAUUAGUAGAUUGUCUGUCUAUGAUGCGUUGAGUGGGCGUAGGCCUGUAGGACCUACGUGUGCGUGGGUCCAGUACCUAUUGGACAGGCGUCUAUGACGUCGGGGCCUUAGGUGUGAAUGUCUACCGAGGGACUGCUAUCAGGCAUAAAUAUACGGGGCCCCGUGAUACGGGAGCGUACGACCUCCGACCCUGACGUUAGACACGCUAUUCUAAGUUAGUAAACGCGUCGUAGCAGUUGGAAGAAAAAAAAACAGCGAUCCGUCCUGCACAACUAUGCCGACUGACUGUAAGUAUUCAUAUGAGUGUAUCAUGAUUAUAUUAUGACUAUGUCUAUGUGAAUCAGCUGUUUAUAUCUGACCGUAGCUGCGAUUACUUCACAGCGAAUUGCGGUGCCGGAGGCGAGAGCGUGAAACAGCAGCAGGGUCCACGUGGAAGUUUGCCUGAUAUUCGGCUCAACAUUCAAAGACCGAUUCUAGCAGACCAGACUAAUGUGCUGACAAGCGGUAGUUUUGUACCUAUCGAGGCCAAUGUCAUUCAGCGAACCCCCGGACCAAAUCGACUGUCCAAGAAGAAUUUGAAAAGAUCGGCGGGGGUAGUGGUGGCUAUACCCUGUACACCACUGGCCAUAGAACAGCUACAAAUUCCUUAUAAAAAGGCUCGCAAGGAUGCCACACAUAAUGGUUUAACUCCGGAGAAUAUUACCCAGGUUAUACAGGCAGUCAUAAAUCCGCAAAUUGCGCCACAUGGAGCGGCAUGGACUGAUCCCAAACACCGUGUGAUCGGGGACGUGGA
Long non-coding RNA from Gadus morhua (Atlantic cod), 1325 nucleotides. RefSeq lists it as uncharacterized. The transcript is spliced from 3 exons. Lineage: Eukaryota; Metazoa; Chordata; Actinopteri; Gadiformes; Gadidae. The record is from RefSeq and is a predicted model, not a curated record.